Non-coding RNA from Triticum aestivum (bread wheat), 124 nucleotides. The record is from Rfam. NCBI's taxonomy places the organism in Eukaryota, Viridiplantae, Streptophyta, Magnoliopsida, Poales, Poaceae.
UUUGUACUCCUCCGUCCGGAAAUACUUGUUCAAGGAAUGGAUGCAUCUAGAUGUAUUUUAGUUCUAGAUACAUCCAUUUAUAUCCAUUUCUACGACGAAUAUUUCCGGACGGAGGGAGUAUUAA